RNAcentral lists this ribosomal RNA (686 nucleotides) under uncultured fungus. RNAcentral describes it as "eukaryotic LSU rRNA". It matches the Rfam family "Eukaryotic large subunit ribosomal RNA", at positions 1 to 667 of the family's 3401-position model. Lineage: Eukaryota; Fungi. The record is from RNAcentral.
UUGAUCUCAAAUCAGGUAGGACUACCCGCUGAACUUAAGCAUAUCAAUAAGCGGAGGAAAAGAAACUAACAAGGAUUCCCCUAGUAACUGCGAGUGAAGCGGGAAGAGCUCAAAUUUAAAAUCUGGCGUGCCUCUGGCCGUCCGAGUUGUAGUCUGGAGAAGCGUUUUCCGUGUUGGACCGUGUAUAAGUCUCUUGGAACAGGGCGUCAUAGAGGGUGAGAAUCCCGUCUUUGACACGGACUACCAAUGCUUUGUGAUGCGCUCUCAAAGAGUCGAGUUGUUUGGGAAUGCAGCUCAAAAUGGGUGGUAAAUUCCAUCUAAAGCUAAAUAUAGGCGAGAGACCGAUAGCGAACAAGUACCGUGAGGGAAAGAUGAAAAGCACUUUGGAAAGAGAGUUAAACAGUACGUGAAAUUGCUGAAAGGGAAACGCUUGAAGUCAGUCGCGUCUGCCAGGACUCAACCUCGCUUCUGCUUGGUGCACUUUCUGGUUUGAUGGGCCAACAUCAAUUUUGACCGUCGGAGAAAGGCUUUGGGAAUGUGGCACCUUCGGGUGUGUUAUAGCCCUUUGUUGUAUACGACGGUCGGGAUUGAGGACUGCAGCACGCCUUUAUGGCCGGGGUUCGCCCACGUACGUGCUUAGGAUGUUGGCAUAAUGGCUUUAAGCGACCCGUCUUGAAACACGGACC